This is a long non-coding RNA of Cyprinus carpio carpio, 1830 nucleotides long. The record is from Ensembl. NCBI's taxonomy places the organism in Eukaryota, Metazoa, Chordata, Actinopteri, Cypriniformes, Cyprinidae.
GUUUUGUAUUACAAUUACAGGAGCUGUGUGUCCGACGGCAGUGAGGCUUUCCUUCACCGUGUGCUGUGUUAUGCUGUCCCAUUUGAUGCCAAUAGGCUACAGCUCCGAAGUAAAUGUGAAUCCUUAUUGUGGAUUGUGAUUUCCAGCUUAGUAAUUGGCUGGGUGACUAUUAUUCCUGCAUUUUAAACUUUUGUACUAAUAAACAAACUCUAUUUUGCUACCCACGUCUCUUGCUCAUUUUAUUCAGUGGAAUGAACCUGGGUUCCUUAUAACAUUUUAAGUGAACUGUGAUUCCCUGGUAUAGUCCCAGGGUGGCGUAGUCUAUUGUAUAUCUCUUGAGUGUUGAAUAUUGCUGCAAAAAGACCACUUUGCCACAUUUUGGCGUAGUCGGCAGGGUCCACUAAAUUGAACAGAGACGUGGGUGAAGAUUUCUUUGCCAGCUGGUAUUGCCAUUAUUUGCUUUUCUUUUUAUUUCACAGGAACAAGACAGCAGCGUAGACUCUUUGAAGGGUCUCUUUGGCUACCUCCCCUGAUUGUGUUUCAGGUCCAAAUUUUCUUUCUGCCCCGCCUUGCUUGGUGGUAAGUGUUUUACUAAAAGUUAGCUAUGGCAGAAGAAUUACAAGAACUUCAGGAUCUUGUGGCCCAAUUAAGAGCUGAUAAUGAGAGACUUAGACAAGAACAGACUCAAAUUGUUAUUCCAGGUCCCAGUACAGCUCCUAUUUCUACCACCUUACCCUCUGGUGCACAGCAAUCUGCUGGUGCAAGUGCCCCAUCUACUGAGCGAUUUGUGUUUGUUCCCCGAGAUAGGAAGUGCCCAAAAUUUAGCGGGAGACCCGGUAUUACCAUAAAUGAAUGGGUAGAGGAGGCCCAAGCCUGUAUGCGGGUUCGCCAUUUGUCUAGAGCUGAUCAAGCAUUCUUUCUUUUUGAUCAUUUAGAGGGAGAAGCUCGGGAUGAGAUCAGGUAUCGGUCUGAGACAGAGAGGGGGGAUCCAGAUAAGAUAAUUCGGGCCUUAAAGGAAUUGUAUGGGUGUUCUUUGUCAUAUGUAGCAUUGCAACAGGCAUUUUUUUCCAGGAGGCAGCAGGAAGGAGAAACACUUUUAGAGUUCUCUAUUGCAUUGAUGGGCCUCUUGGAGGGGGUAAAACAGCAGUCGCCGCAUGCCAUACCAAAUGCAGAAGCUUUAUUGCGUGACCAGUUUGUCGAGCACGUGCUCGAUAUUGGUCUUCGUCGGGAACUAAAACAAUUAGUCCGCCGUGACCCUACCUCUUCCCUCUUAGAUGUUCGUAGCGAGGCAAUGCGCUGGGAGCGGGAGGGAAUGCCUGGGGGUGCGAGAGGGCGAAGUCAGUCUGUACCAGUGGCCUAUGGGGCCCAGUAUGCCAUACAGGGGGAGUCGCAGGUAGUUCGGUUGAGCUCCCCUCCCAAGUCGGAGCUAGCAGAGUUACGGGAAAUGUUGAAGUCACAACAAGAACAGUUAAACCAACUUACCCAAGGGUUGGCUCGCUUGCAGGUCCCUAAUUCAUAUAGCCGGUCCCCACGUCACAGUAAUAUAGUAUGUCGGAGGUGCCAACGGUCUGGCCAUUUUGCCCGAGAGUGUGAUGGAGAACGUGUUCUCCCUCACGCUCCAGCAGUGGGUACAUCUUCGACUGGGUCUAGGCAGUUUCGAUCUUCACAGCCGUCGGAAAACUAAUCCCCACCGGGCUGCGGAGUCACAGCGCGGAUGGGGAGUCAUUUGACUCAAAUGUUGUAAACCGUCUAAAUUCUGUCUCUCGUUUGGUGUCCUCCUGUCCUCAUCUUAAUGUGCUCAUCGGUGGUGUUCAAGUGCCAUGUUUAGUG